AAUAUUGGACAAUGUGGGCAACCCUGAUCCAUCCAUGCCGCGUGUGUGAAGAAGGUCUUCGGAUUGUAAAGCACUUUAAGUUGGUAGUAUGGGCUUUAGGUUAAUACCCUGCAGUUUUGACGUUACCAACAGAAUAAGCACGGGCUAACUCUGUGCCAGCAGCCGCGGUAAUACAGAGGGUGCAAGCGUUAAGAGGAAUUACUGGGCGUAAAGCGCGCGUAGGUGGUUCAGUAAGAUGGGUGUGAAAUCCCCGGGCUUAACCUGGGAACUGCUUUCAUAACUGCUGAGCUAGAGUACGGUAGAGGGUAGUGGAAUUUCCUGUGUAGCGGUGAAAUGCGUAGAUAUAGGAAGGAACACAAGUGGCGAAGGCGACUACCUGGACUGAUACUGACACUGAGGUGCGAAAGCGUGGGGAGCAAAC
Molecule: ribosomal RNA, 421 nt
Filed under: uncultured bacterium
Lineage: Bacteria
Description: partial 16S ribosomal RNA
Rfam family: Bacterial small subunit ribosomal RNA
Source: RNAcentral